UGGGCGUUAAGUUGCAGGGUAUAGACCCGAAACCCGGUGAUCUAGCCAUGGGCAGGUUGAAGGUUGGGUAACACUAACUGGAGGACCGAACCGACUAAUGUUGAAAAAUUAGCGGAUGACCUGUGGCUGGGGGUGAAAGGCCAAUCAAACCGGGAGAUAGCUGGUUCUCCCCGAAAGCUAUUUAGGUAGCGCCUCGUGAACUCAUCUCCGGGGGUAGAGCACUGUUUCGGCUAGGGGGCCAUCCCGGCUUACCAACCCGAUGCAAACUGCGAAUACCGGAGAAUGUUAUCACGGGAGACACACGGCGGGUGCUAACGUCCGUCGUGAAGAGGGAAACAACCCAGACCGCCAGCUAAGGUCCCAAAGUCAUGGUUAAGUGGGAAACGAUGUGGGAAGGCCCAGACAGCCAGGAUGUUGGCUUAGAAGCAGCCAUCAUUUAAAGAAAGCGUAAUAGCUCACUGGUCGAGUCGGCCUGCGCGGAAGAUGUAACGGGGCUAAACCAU
RNAcentral lists this ribosomal RNA (503 nucleotides) under Salmonella enterica subsp. enterica. Its description in RNAcentral is "partial 23S ribosomal RNA". It matches the Rfam family "Bacterial large subunit ribosomal RNA", at positions 689 to 1190 of the family's 2925-position model. Lineage: Bacteria; Pseudomonadati; Pseudomonadota; Gammaproteobacteria; Enterobacterales; Enterobacteriaceae. The record is from RNAcentral.